GACGAACGCUGGCGGCGUGCUUAACACAUGCAAGUCGAACGGAAAGGCCUCUUUCGGGGGGUACUCGAGUGGCGAACGGGUGAGUAACACGUGAGUAACCUGCCCUUGACUUUGGGAUAACUUCAGGAAACUGGGGCUAAAACCGGAUAGGAGCUCCUGCUGCAUGGUGGGGGUUGGAAAGUUUCGGCGGUUGGGGAUGGACUCGCGGCUUAUCAGCUUGUUGGUGGGGUAGUGGCUUACCAAGGCUUUGACGGGUAGCCGGCCUGAGAGGGUGACCGGCCACAUUGGGACUGAGAUACGGCCCAGACUCCUACGGGAGGCAGCAGUGGGGAAUAUUGCACAAUGGGUGGAAGCCUGAUGCAGCAACGCCGUGUGCGGGAUGACGGCCUUCGGGUUGUAAACCGCUUUCGCUCAUGACGAAGCUUUGUGUGACGGUAGUGGGUAAAGAAGCACCGGCUAACUACGUG
This 467-nucleotide ribosomal RNA is filed under the name uncultured bacterium. Its description in RNAcentral is "partial 16S ribosomal RNA". It matches the Rfam family "Bacterial small subunit ribosomal RNA", at positions 28 to 507 of the family's 1533-position model. The record is from RNAcentral.